GAAGCGAGAAGGAGCUCGAGCGGCGCGGUGCUUCCCUCCCUCGGGGUCUCAUUCAAACCGGCCCCUCAGGAUGACGCUGCAAGCAGGGACGGGUGCGCACGCAACUCCGGAAAGAGCGCCUAAUUGCUGCCUCCAGCGGUCGCUGUUUGUCGUGGCCGCGGCGCUACGCCGCUUCGAAGAAAGGCGGGGCUUAGAUUUCUCAGUCGAUCCGCGACGUUCUUCUAUGGGUACCAUCCAAGUUAAGUGCGGCAAGUAAGCUUCAAUUUCUUACUCCAACAAUAUACAGUAUCAACAUGAAGGGUACAGAGUUGAUCAGGAGAACACCAUGGUUGAUAGUGUCAAUAGAUGCAGAGCAAGUGAGCAGAAGAAGCAAGGCUGUACUCUCCUUAUCUCCCGAUAACGUCAUCCAUCAGUGUGACCAAGGCUGAUUCAGUCCCCAAAUCAGGUCUGAGCCCAGACUGAAAUGGGUCUACAUGAUCAAUUUCAUCCAUGAAACCCUGUUUCAAAAGAAAUGACAGUUCCCAUCCAAACAGAGAAGAGGAAAAUGUGUGUAAAAGGGGCAACAAUAAAGGGAAUUCCUCUGACAUAUGCAAAAGCAGUUACAAUUUUAUUUAUCUUGUUGGGCAAGAUCUUAAUGCUGAUCUCGCUGUGCCACCUCCCCAGGUAGGACACAAGCUGGAAUUGGACCCUGAAUCAAGUGAGGAAGGAAAAUACAUCCAAACACAAUAGAACUUUGAUCAAAGGUUACUGGUCACUUUUCUAAAGAGGGACUUCAUAUGUAGAGUUUGCAUUUCUCUUACAAUGUUGAUAACAUUAGCACAUACAGGUAGAUCUUGAAAUGG
Rhineura floridana is the source of this 842-nucleotide long non-coding RNA. RefSeq lists it as uncharacterized. NCBI's taxonomy places the organism in Eukaryota, Metazoa, Chordata, Lepidosauria, Squamata, Rhineuridae. The record is from RefSeq and is a predicted model, not a curated record. The transcript has 3 exons.